RNAcentral lists this transfer RNA (94 nucleotides) under Scleropages formosus (Asian bonytongue). It matches the Rfam family "tRNA". Rfam says of the family: Transfer RNA (tRNA) molecules are approximately 80 nucleotides in length. Their secondary structure includes four short double-helical elements and three loops (D, anti-codon, and T loops). The record is from Rfam by way of RNAcentral. Lineage: Eukaryota; Metazoa; Chordata; Actinopteri; Osteoglossiformes; Osteoglossidae.
GCUCUAGUAGUGCAGUUGGUUAGUGUACGGUACUUAUACAGCAGUUCAAUGCAGAAGGAUGCUGAGGUUGAGAGUUCAAGCCUCACCUGGAGCA